Molecule: long non-coding RNA, 314 nt
Organism: Piliocolobus tephrosceles (Ugandan red Colobus)
Lineage: Eukaryota; Metazoa; Chordata; Mammalia; Primates; Cercopithecidae
Exons: 2
Source: RefSeq, a predicted model, not a curated record
CUGCCUCCUGAUUUCAAGCGAUUCUCGUGCCUCAUCCUCCCGAGUAGCUGGUAAUGAAGGAUCACCUUGGCCUGUCUUCAGAAAGAAUUCUGGUAGGUCAGUGUAGCCAGAAUCUUUCUUACUGCAAUGUUUUCGCAGUAAUUUUCCACCUACUGAAAAACUGGAUGCUCUUUGGCUAUGAACUUCCACUUGCCCAUGCUGUAUUCAGAGUUGAGCUCAAUCUCUCUCUCCCGCUGCAGAAUCCCGUUGUAUUGGUUCCAAUACCUAUUGCAAUGGUCCUGAAUAAAGUCUGCCUUACUGUGCUUUAACAAGAA